UGAUAAUGGUGAGGGCAAAUUCUGAGCAUACUCUUAAAUCUCUCCCAAGCUUGGUUGAGAUUCUCUCCUUCUUUCUACCUAAAACUCAGAAUCUCACUUCUCAAAUG
RNAcentral lists this small nucleolar RNA (107 nucleotides) under Capsicum annuum. RNAcentral describes it as "Plant small nucleolar RNA R71". It matches the Rfam family "Plant small nucleolar RNA R71". Rfam says of the family: R71 is a member of the C/D box family of snoRNAs containing the C (UGAUGA) and D (CUGA) box motifs. The record is from Rfam by way of RNAcentral. Lineage: Eukaryota; Viridiplantae; Streptophyta; Magnoliopsida; Solanales; Solanaceae.